RNAcentral lists this long non-coding RNA (1069 nucleotides) under Heterocephalus glaber (naked mole-rat). RNAcentral describes it as "lncRNA (ENSHGLG00100036508.1)". The record is from RNAcentral. Lineage: Eukaryota; Metazoa; Chordata; Mammalia; Rodentia; Bathyergidae.
UCCAAGCCAAAGACUGACAGCAAAGCAGAUUGCAGGUUAGAAGGUGGUGACUGUGACAUCACAGGGAGUGACAUGGACUGACAUGAUCCACUUUUGGAAUGACAUCUAAGAGAUACCAUCCUUCUAUGGCUAUUUCCAGAAGAAUUUCACUCUCAUCCAAAGACAGUCAAGGGAAGGAGAGCCAAGAAGCCUACACUAGACAUUCAGAUCUGACAAAGUGUUGAGUGGAAGAUUAUGCUGGAGGGGAUGGGCAGAGACACGAAUCACAAGACAACAGGUGAGAACCUGUGUUGCCAAAACAAACAUUAGAAAAGAUGAGUUCAGAGAGGAGCUCUUCCUACCUUCUCCAAAUCUACAGUGAAGAAGAUGACAGCAGAAACGCAAAGUUGUUCUCUGGGUGUGCAGUGCUGGGUUCACCAAAUCAGUGCCUACAAUAAAGCAAAAGUAAAGAAUCACAGGAGGGCCGUGGAUUUAGCUCAGGGUCACCGCACCUGCCUUGCAAGUGCAAGGUCCUGAAUUCUUUCCUGGGUAUUGAAAAAAAAAACAAAAAGAAUUGCAAGAAACUGUGUAUAUUCCUGACACUUCAUUAAAAGAACAGGAAGUGCUUUCCACAAGCUGUGCUAGAAUCAAACCAGAUUAAAAGUGUCAUCAUUUUUAGGUCAAUAAUUCACUUUACAUCUUGCGAACAUUAUCAGUUUAACCCAAAGCUGUUUGUGUCUUCAUAAUUUCCAGAUGUGUCUUGACAAGGGCUGCUGCAAGAUGAACAAAUAGGCCCGACUCUGAAUUAUGAGAGGACUCCUCUGAUAUGAGCCGCGAGGCUCUGAGAACUUUCCACUCAUUUGGUGUUUAGUAAUUCUCUUCAGACAAGACAAUGAAAACCAAACAAGCCUUCAUGUCAAAUGAACGGGAAACCAGGGAAGCCAUGCCACGAAUAAAGACCAGAUCUUCAUGAUCUAAGAGUUUGCCCUCAUUGUUUGAUUGAUGACUCAUUCAUUUAUGCAAGAAGGAUUUGUGAAAACUCUACAGGUCUGGGAGUUCUGCUCAGUAAGAUGUUAAGUUUUAGCAUGAG